UACGUAGGGCGCAAGCGUUGUCCGGAAUUAUUGGGCGUAAAGAGCUCGUAGGUGGUUUGUCGCGUCUGCCGUGAAAGCCCGGGGCUUAACUCCGGGUCUGCGGUGGAUACGGGCAGACUAGAGGCAGGUAGGGGAGAACGGAAUUCCCGGUGUAGUGGUGAAAUGCGUAGAUAUCGGGAGGAACACCAGUGGCGAAGGCGACUACCUGGCCUGUUUCUUGACGCUGAGGCGCGAAAGCUAGGGGAGCAAACGGG
This 254-nucleotide ribosomal RNA is filed under the name uncultured bacterium. Its description in RNAcentral is "partial 16S ribosomal RNA". It matches the Rfam family "Bacterial small subunit ribosomal RNA", at positions 524 to 776 of the family's 1533-position model. The record is from RNAcentral.